CUUGCCCUACGGGACGCAGCAGUGAGGAAUAUUGGUCAAUGGCCGGAAGGCUGAACCAGCCAAGUCGCGUGAGGGAAUAAGGCCCUAUGGAUUGUAAACCUCUUUUGCCGGGGAGCAAAAAGCGGUACGUGUACCGCAUCGAGAGUACCCGGAGAAAAAGCAUCGGCUAACUCCGUGCCAGCAGCCGCGGUAAUACGGAGGAUGCGAGCGUUAUCCGGAUUUAUUGGGUUUAAAGGGUGCGCAGGCGGCGAGUUAAGUCAGCGGUAAAAUUUCGGGGCUCAACCCCGACGAGCCGUUGAAACUGG
RNAcentral lists this ribosomal RNA (305 nucleotides) under uncultured bacterium. Its description in RNAcentral is "bacterial SSU rRNA". It matches the Rfam family "Bacterial small subunit ribosomal RNA", at positions 333 to 636 of the family's 1533-position model. The record is from RNAcentral.